AGCACAAGACAUCCUGACCUUCAAGGGAGGGAGGAACACCUUGAGAGGAGUUGAGAUCCUGCUUUCUCUUCAGAAUGCCAUCUCUAGGAUGCCAAUGGGCUGUGUCUACAGUACUAUGUAGGAAAGUGCUGCAAGAGAAAUCAUAAACACCUCUAAAACACAUGUAUACUGGUGGUGUUAGUCAACUUAUAUCACUGUCUGUGAAGACGAUGCAGCAAAUUCAAUGAAAGUUGUAUACAUCAUGGAAAAGUUUGAAUUGCAUGAAGAAAAGAAGCUGACGGAAGUUCUUUCUGUCACCUCUCUGAAGACCUGGUUCAUAUCUGCAGCUGCAACUCUAUCCCUGAACUCAUCUUUGAAACUACCCAGAGAUAGACUGUCAAGAGCUUCAGAGCUUUACAACAGGAUCUUCCAAGUGCCCUGAGAGGUCAUGAUGGAGCCAAUAGAAAUAAAUCAUACAAAACAAAGCCAGAACCUGGUGGGAGGGAUGCUUACAAAACAACAUAAACGAGAAGUUGUCUGAAAAAAAAUUGUAUGGAAGGAAGAAGAGAUGAGAUAAGGGAAAUGAACUCAUAAUAGCCCCAGUUAAAAUACUUACAGUAAAAUAUCAUUAGUACUACUUGAUGUUGGUGAAAGGCUCUAGACUCAAGUCAGAAGGCCCAAUUUGUUGCUGUGAUUUCUUGAACAAAUUAUGUAAUUGUGUUGAGAUUCAGUUUUCUUUUCUAUCAUUGGGUAUUAAUAACUUCUAUGUGAUGUCAGAGUUAUGAUGUGAAGUUAAAAUAACUAAUAAAUGGGUAAACCCUGAAAAUUUGAUAGAAUUUUGUGAAUGAGAGAAUCUUACAAAUACAGUACCUGAAACCAAAAGAAUUAAGUCUCAGCUUGAGGAAUAUCAGAUACUAGGGCAGGCUAAUGGGAUAAAGGUCUCAUUGAUCUGCCACCUUCAGUCACACUGAAAUGGGGCUAUAUUUUUUUUAUUUACUUACCUACCAGUACUGCCAAUAGUCAAAAUAGUACUACUUUCCAAGUUAUUUAACUUUUUUAGUAUAACAGAAAAAAAAAUCAUUUCUAGUUUUCAAGGCAUGGAUUCAAUGAGUAAUAUAGAUUUAUAUCACUUGGUGAAGACAUGGCAAUUUCCCUGAUACCACUGAAAAAUAAAUUUAAAAAUGCUAUUUG
Molecule: long non-coding RNA, 1170 nt
Filed under: Homo sapiens (human)
Lineage: Eukaryota; Metazoa; Chordata; Mammalia; Primates; Hominidae
Description: long intergenic non-protein coding RNA 2552
Source: RNAcentral